RNAcentral lists this long non-coding RNA (921 nucleotides) under Rosa chinensis. Its description in RNAcentral is "sRNA RchiOBHm_Chr4g0413981". The record is from RNAcentral. Lineage: Eukaryota; Viridiplantae; Streptophyta; Magnoliopsida; Rosales; Rosaceae.
GGCACUCAUUAGUCAUAUGACUUAAUUUCUUGUUAGUUAACGACGCAUAAUUGCGCGCCGUAAAUGAUAUCGUCUCUGAGAUCACACUCCCUCAGCUCUCGAUUGUCAAAUCCGCCUCCGCCAGUGUGCCAUCCAAGGCGGAGCUCCAGAAGUUCGGCCUCUCCGACGACGAUCUCAGAGACUUCGUCAAGGGACUCACUUCCGAAUUUUUGAUUCGGAUCUUCAAAUGCGAACCAUUUCGAUCGAAUAGUUGACUCUCUCUAAUCCUUCCUGCUCUGCACUUCGCUCCUCGAAGCUCAGUUCGGAAAGAUUUGACGGAGUGGCGGGAGCGACAUACAUGCCACUUUGGUUCUCACUACUGAUAAGAUCUGACCUUUGGGGAGGCACUACUUCCAGAACACACAGGGUCUUAUCUUUGUUGUAGACAGCAGUGACAGAGACCGUGUUGUUGAGGCAAGGGAUGGAUUGCACAGGAUGUCAAAUGCGCUGCGAGAAGCUGUGUUGCUUGUUUUUGCCAACAAACAAGAUCUCCCCAGUGCAAUGAAUGCUACUGAAAUUACUGAUAAGCUUGGCCUCCACUCUCUCUGACAACGUCACUGGUAUAUCCAGAACACUGGUGCAACCUCUGGAGUGGGUCUGUAUGAAGGCCUGGAUUGGCUCUCCAACAACAUUGCUAACAAGGCUUGAUCCCUAUUUGGGAGUCAUUGUGAGGACUGCCAAUUCUGGAUGCAGGAAUGAAUAUUAUCUAGUUUGUUUUAGUGAAUAUGUUGAAAGCUAGAUGCAGUUUAUGUAGAUUAGGAUCAACAGGUAGUGUUACUAUAUUGAAGUUAUUUAUUAACUUUCAGUGAAGUGUUCUUAUCUUUCUUCUAUAACAAAUCUUUUCCUGGCCAGAAAUUAAUUGACAUUUUUUAUUUUAAUUAA